UACGUAGGGGGCUAGCGUUGUCCGGAAUCAUUGGGCGUAAAGCGCGUGUAGGCGGCCCGGUAAGUCCGCUGUGAAAGCCGAGGGCUCAACCCUCGGAUGCCGGUGGAUACUGUCGGGCUAGAGUACGGAAGAGGCGAGUGGAAUUCCUGGUGUAGCGGUGAAAUGCGCAGAUAUCAGGAGGAACACCGAUUGCGAAGGCAGCUCGCUGGGACGUUACUGACGCUGAGACGCGAAAGCGUGGGGAGCAAACAGG
This 253-nucleotide ribosomal RNA is filed under the name uncultured bacterium. RNAcentral's name for it is "partial 16S ribosomal RNA". It matches the Rfam family "Bacterial small subunit ribosomal RNA", at positions 524 to 776 of the family's 1533-position model. The record is from RNAcentral.